GACGAACGCUGGCGGCGUGCUUAACACAUGCAAGUCGAACGGAAAGGCCCUGCUUUUGUGGGGUGCUCGAGUGGCGAACGGGUGAGUAACACGUGAGUAACCUGCCCUUGACUUUGGGAUAACUUCAGGAAACUGGGGCUAAUACCGGAUAGGAGCUCCUGCUGCAUGGUGGGGGUUGGAAAGUUUCGGCGGUUGGGGAUGGACUCGCGGCUUAUCAGCUUGUUGGUGGGGUAGUGGCUUACCAAGGCUUUGACGGGUAGCCGGCCUGAGAGGGUGACCGGCCACAUGGGGACUAGGAUCCGGCCGAGCCGCCGCGGGGGGGAAGAAGGGGGAAAUAUGGCAAAAGGGGGGGAAGCUUGAUGCAGCAGCCCCCGGUGGGGGAGGGGGGCCUGGGGUUGGAAAACCGCUUCCCCCGGUGAAAAAGGGGGAGUGACGGGAAGGGAUAAAGAAGCACCGACUAACUACGUC
This 468-nucleotide ribosomal RNA is filed under the name uncultured bacterium. RNAcentral describes it as "partial 16S ribosomal RNA". It matches the Rfam family "Bacterial small subunit ribosomal RNA", at positions 28 to 507 of the family's 1533-position model. The record is from RNAcentral.